Molecule: non-coding RNA, 27 nt
Filed under: Homo sapiens (human)
Lineage: Eukaryota; Metazoa; Chordata; Mammalia; Primates; Hominidae
Source: RNAcentral
UGAGGAUUCAAGUUACCGUCUGGUGUC